UACGGGGGGGGCAAGCGUUGUUCGGAAUUACUGGGCGUAAAGGGAGCGUAGGCGGGCUCUUAAGUUAGGUGUUUAAUCCCGGGGCCCAACCCCGGUCGUGCACUUAAAACUGGGAGUCUUGAAUAGUGGAGAGGUCAGUGGAAUUGGGGGUGUAGCGGUGGAAUGCGUAGAGAUCCCCAAGAACACCAGUUGCGAAGGCGGCUGACUGGACACAUAUUGACGCUGAGGCUCGAAAGCAUGGGGAGCAAACAGG
Molecule: ribosomal RNA, 253 nt
Filed under: uncultured bacterium
Lineage: Bacteria
Description: partial 16S ribosomal RNA
Rfam family: Bacterial small subunit ribosomal RNA
Source: RNAcentral